UGGGGAAUAUUGCGCAAUGGGGGAAACCCUGACGCAGCGACGCCGCGUGGAGGAAGAAGGUCUUCGGAUUGUAAACUCUUGUCGACAGGGACGAAAUAAGACGGUACCUGUGGAGGAAGCCCCGGCUAACUACGUGCCAGCAGCCGCGGUAAUACGUAGGGGGCUAGCGUUGUCCGGAAUUACUGGGUGUAAAGGGCGUGUAGGCGGGAUAUUAAGUCAGGUGUGAAAACCCGGGGCUCAACUUCGGGACUGCAUCUGAAACUAAUAUUCUUGAGUGCAGGAGAGGAAAGCGGAAUUCCAAGUGUAGCGGUGAAAUGCGUAGAUAUUUGGAGGAACACCAGUGGCGAAGGCGGCUUUCUGGACUGUAACUGACGCUGAGGCGCGAAAGCGUGGGGAGCAAACAGG
This 405-nucleotide ribosomal RNA is filed under the name uncultured bacterium. RNAcentral's name for it is "bacterial SSU rRNA". It matches the Rfam family "Bacterial small subunit ribosomal RNA", at positions 355 to 776 of the family's 1533-position model. The record is from RNAcentral.